GGACUACCAGGGUAUCUAAUCCCGUUUGCUCCCCUGGCUUUCGCGCCUCAGCGUCAGAAGAGAUCCAGUCCGUCGCUUUCGCCACCGGCGUUCCUUCCGAUAUCAACGCAUUUCACCGCUCCACCGGAAGUUCCACAGACCCCUACCUCCCUCGAGCUCUCCAGUAUCAAAGGCACUGCGACAGUUGAGCUGCCGGAUUUCACCCCUGACUUAGAAAGCCGCCUACGCGCCCUUUAUGCCCAGUGAUUCCGAAUAACGUUUGCACGGUUCGUCUUACCGCGGCUGCUGGCAC
This 292-nucleotide ribosomal RNA is filed under the name uncultured Planctomycetota bacterium. RNAcentral's name for it is "uncultured planctomycete partial 16S ribosomal RNA". Lineage: Bacteria; Pseudomonadati; Planctomycetota. The record is from RNAcentral.